Molecule: transfer RNA, 73 nt
Filed under: Rattus norvegicus (Norway rat)
Lineage: Eukaryota; Metazoa; Chordata; Mammalia; Rodentia; Muridae
Rfam family: tRNA
About the family: Transfer RNA (tRNA) molecules are approximately 80 nucleotides in length. Their secondary structure includes four short double-helical elements and three loops (D, anti-codon, and T loops).
Source: Rfam by way of RNAcentral
GGGGACAUGACUCAGUGGGUAAGAGCAUUUGAUCCUCCUGCAGAGGACCUGGGUUCAAAUCCCAGUGUCCAUG